CUUCAUAGUUGCAAGUGCUGUCCAUCAUAAACUCAGUUAUUAUUUUGGUCGAAGCCACAUGGUUGAUUGUUAUGUCACACCUAGCCAGAUUCCCUUCAUAGCUGCAAAUGUUGUCCAUCAUAAGCUCAGUUAUUAUUUUGGACACGCCAGGUCGAAGCCACAUGGUUGAUUGUUAUGUCACACCUAGCCAGAUUCCCUUCAUAGCUGCAAAUGUUGUCCAUCAUAAGCUCAGUUAUUAUUUUGGUAUGUAUCUACCUUGUUAUUCUUAUACAUAUUCUAUGUUUACAUUGCUGAUAAAAUCAUAUAGCUAAUUAUGAUGGAUCAAUUAAGUGAAAAAAUUAAAUAAAAAUGU
Long non-coding RNA from Hordeum vulgare subsp. vulgare (domesticated barley), 352 nucleotides. RefSeq lists it as uncharacterized. The record is from RefSeq and is a predicted model, not a curated record. Lineage: Eukaryota; Viridiplantae; Streptophyta; Magnoliopsida; Poales; Poaceae. The transcript has 3 exons.